RNAcentral lists this long non-coding RNA (300 nucleotides) under dengue virus type 1. Its description in RNAcentral is "Dengue virus 1 partial sfRNA1". The stretch from base 233 to 300 matches the Rfam family "Flavivirus DB element". Lineage: Riboviria; Orthornavirae; Kitrinoviricota; Flasuviricetes; Amarillovirales; Flaviviridae. The record is from RNAcentral.
AAGAAGUCAGGCCGGAUUAAGCCAUAGUACGGUAAGAGCUAUGCUGCCUGUGAGCCCCGUCUAAGGACGUAAAAUGAAGUCAGGCCGAAAGCCACGGCUUGAGCAAACCGUGCUGCCUGUAGCUCCAUCGUGGGGAUGUAAAAACCUGGGAGGCUGCAACCCAUGGAAGCUGUACGCAUGGGGUAGCAGACUAGUGGUUAGAGGAGACCCCUCCCGAAACAUAACGCAGCAGCGGGGCCCAACACCAGGGGAAGCUGUACCCUGGUGGUAAGGACUAGAGGUUAGAGGAGACCCCCCGCA